This 439-nucleotide ribosomal RNA is filed under the name uncultured bacterium. RNAcentral's name for it is "partial 16S ribosomal RNA". It matches the Rfam family "Bacterial small subunit ribosomal RNA", at positions 339 to 795 of the family's 1533-position model. The record is from RNAcentral.
CUACGGGUCGCAGCAGUGAGGAAUAUUGCACAAUGGGGGGAACCCUGAUGCAGCAACGCCGCGUGGAGGAUGACGCAUUUCGGUGUGUAAACUCCUUUGAUAUGUCAAGAAAAUGACGGUAGCAUAUGAAUAAGCACCGGCUAACUCCGUGCCAGCAGCCGCGGUAAUACGGAGGGUGCAAGCGUUACUCGGAAUCACUGGGCGUAAAGGACGCGUAGGCGGGUUGGAAAGUCAGGUGUGAAAUCCUACAGCUUAACUGUAGAACUGCACUUGAAACUUCUAAUCUAGAGUAUGGUAGGGGGAGAUGGAAUUAGUGGUGUAGGGGUAAAAUCCGUAGAUAUCACUAGGAAUACCUAAAGCGAAGGCGAUCUCCUGGAACAUUACUGACGCUAAGGCGUGAAAGCGUGGGGAGCAAACAGGAUUAGAUACCCCUGUAGUC